Molecule: non-coding RNA, 21 nt
Filed under: Caenorhabditis elegans
Lineage: Eukaryota; Metazoa; Nematoda; Chromadorea; Rhabditida; Rhabditidae
Source: RNAcentral
UCCUCGAAUAUUGGGCAGUCC